GACGUAGGGCGCGAGCGUUGUCCGGAUUUAUUGGGCGUAAAGGGCUCGUAGGUGGCCAACUAAGUCAGACGUGAAAUCCCUCGGCUUAACCGGGGAACUGCAUCUGAUACUGGAUGGCUUGAGUUUGGGAGAGGGAUGCGGAAUUCCAGGUGUAGCGGUGAAAUGCGCAGAUAUCAGGAGGAACACCGAUGGCGAAGGCAGCUUACUGGGCCGAUACUGACGCUGAGGAGCGAAAGCGUGGGGAGCGAACAGG
Molecule: ribosomal RNA, 253 nt
Filed under: uncultured bacterium
Lineage: Bacteria
Description: partial 16S ribosomal RNA
Rfam family: Bacterial small subunit ribosomal RNA
Source: RNAcentral